Molecule: ribosomal RNA, 554 nt
Filed under: Nematoda sp. ZTSP76
Lineage: Eukaryota; Metazoa; Nematoda
Description: SSU rRNA
Rfam family: Eukaryotic small subunit ribosomal RNA
Source: RNAcentral
GAUCUUAGAAUCCUACUUGGAUACCUGUGGAAAAUCUAGAGCUAAUACACGCAAUCAAACCCUAACCUUACGGACAGGGUGCAUUUAUUAGAACAAAACCAAUUGGCUUCGGCCAUAGAUUGGUGAAUCUGAAUAACUACGCUGAUCGCACGGUCUCGUACCGGCGACGUAUCCUUCAAGUGUCUGCCUUAUCAACUUUCGAUGGUAGUCUAUAAGCCUACCAUGGUUGUAACGGGUAACGGAGAAUAAGGGUUCGACUCCGGAGAGGGAGCCUGAGAAACGGCUACCACUUCCAAGGAAGGCAGCAGGCGCGCAAAUUACCCACUCUCAGAACGAGGAGGUAGUGACGAAAAAUAACGAGACAGUUCUCUAUGAGGUCUGUCAUCGGAAUGGGUACAAUCUAAACCCUUUAACGAGGAUCUAUUGGAGGGCAAGUCUGGUGCCAGCAGCCGCGGUAAUUCCAGCUCCAAUAGCGUAUAUUAAAGUUGUUGCGGUUAAAAAGCUCGUAGUUGGAUCUGCGGUCAUUGACACUGGUCUCCUUCACGGAGUACUGG